This 200-nucleotide ribosomal RNA is filed under the name uncultured bacterium. RNAcentral describes it as "partial 16S ribosomal RNA". It matches the Rfam family "Bacterial small subunit ribosomal RNA", at positions 326 to 539 of the family's 1533-position model. The record is from RNAcentral.
ACGCUCGACACCUACGGGACGCAGCAGUGGGGAAUAUUGGGCAAUGGGCGCAAGCCUGACCCAGCAACGCCGCGUGAAGGAAGAAGGCUUUCGGGUUGUAAACUUCUUUUGUCAGGGAACAGUAGAAGAGGGUACCUGACGAAUAAGCCACGGCUAACUACGUGUCAGCAGCCGCGGUAAUCUGAGCGGGCUGGCAAGGC